GGAGAUGAGUCAGAGACAGUCCCUGUCCUCAAGGAGCUUACAGUCUGGUGGGGAGACAGACUGGUGGACAG
RNAcentral lists this microRNA precursor (71 nucleotides) under Dasypus novemcinctus (nine-banded armadillo). Its description in RNAcentral is "miRNA (ENSDNOG00000048685.1)". Lineage: Eukaryota; Metazoa; Chordata; Mammalia; Cingulata; Dasypodidae. The record is from RNAcentral.